GCUACGGGAGGCUGCAGUAGGGAAUAUUGCUCAAUGGGGGAAACCCUGAAGCAGCAACGCCGCGUGGAGGAUGAAGGUUUUCGGAUUGUAAACUCCUUUUGUUAGAGAAGAGAAUGACGGUAUCUAACGAAUAAGCACCGGCUAACGCCGUGCCAGCAGCCGCGGUAAUACGGAGGGUGCAAGCGUUACUCGGAAUCACUGGGCGUAAAGAGCGCGGAGGCGGGAUUGCAAGUCAGAUGUUAAAUCCUAUGGCUUAACCAUAGAACUGCAUUUGCAACUGUUAUUCUAGAGUAUGGGAGAGGUAGGUUGAAUUCUUGGUGUAGGGGUCAAAUCCGUAGAGUUCAAGUGGCAUCCUCAUUGCGAAGGCGACCUGCUAGAACAUAACUGACGCUGAUGCGCGAACGCGUGGGGAGCAAACAGGAUUAGAUACCCCUGUAGUC
Molecule: ribosomal RNA, 440 nt
Filed under: uncultured bacterium
Lineage: Bacteria
Description: partial 16S ribosomal RNA
Rfam family: Bacterial small subunit ribosomal RNA
Source: RNAcentral